AACGCUAGCUACAGGCUUAACACAUGCAAGUCGAGGGGCAGCGCAGUGUAGCAAUACAUGGGCGGCGACCGGCGCACGGGUGCGUAACGCGUAUCCAACCUUCCCGUUACUCAGGGAUAGCCUUCCGAAAGGGAGAUUAAUACCUGAUGGUGUUUGAAUUCCGCAUGUUAUUCAAACUAAAGAUUUAUCGGUAACGGAUGGGGAUGCGUGACAUUAGGUAGAUGGCGGGGUAACGGCCCACCAUGCCCACGAUGUCUAGGGGUUCUGAGAGGAAGGUCCCCCACACUGGAACUGAGACACGGUCCAGACUCCUACGGGAGGCAGCAGUGAGGAAUAUUGGUCAAUGGUCGGAAGACUGAACCAGCCAAGUAGCGUGAAGGAUGAAGGUUCUAUGGAUUGUAAACUUCUUUUAUACGGGAAUAAAACCACCUACGUGUAGGUGGCUUGUAUGUACCGUAUGAAUAAGCAUCGGCUAACUCCGUGCCAGCAGCCGCGGUAAUACGGAGGAUGCGAGCGUUAUCCGGAUUUAUUGGGUUUAAAGGGAGCGUAGACGGGGGAUUAAGUCAGUUGUGAAAGGCUGCGGCUCAACCGCAGCACUGCAGUUGAUACUGGUUUCCUUGAGUGCGGUUGAGGUGUAUGGAAUUCGUGGUGUAGCGGUGAAAUGCUUAGAUAUCACGAAGAACUCCGAUUG
RNAcentral lists this ribosomal RNA (691 nucleotides) under uncultured Bacteroidales bacterium. Its description in RNAcentral is "bacterial SSU rRNA". It matches the Rfam family "Bacterial small subunit ribosomal RNA", at positions 32 to 715 of the family's 1533-position model. The record is from RNAcentral. Lineage: Bacteria; Pseudomonadati; Bacteroidota; Bacteroidia; Bacteroidales.